GCUUCCUUAGCUCAGUCGGUAGAGCGCGAGUCUCAUAGCUGAGUGGUGAUGCACCGUUCAAUCUCGAGGUCGCAAGUUCGAGCCUUGCAGGGAGCA
The sequence is a transfer RNA, 96 nucleotides long. It matches the Rfam family "tRNA". From Rfam's summary of the family: Transfer RNA (tRNA) molecules are approximately 80 nucleotides in length. Their secondary structure includes four short double-helical elements and three loops (D, anti-codon, and T loops). The record is from Rfam.